GACGAACGCUGGCGGCGUGCUUAACACAUGCAAGUCGAACGGAAAGGCCCCUUUGGGGGUACUCGAGUGGCGAACGGGUGAGUAACACGUGAGUAACCUGCCCUUGACUUCGGGAUAACUUCAGGAAACUGGGGCUAAUACCGGAUAGGAAUCCUUGCUGCAUGGUGGGGGUUGGAAAGCUUCGGCGGUUUUGGAUGGACUCGCGGCUUAUCAGCUUGUUGGUGGGGUAGUGGCUUACCAAGGCUUUGACGGGUAGCCGGCCUGAGAGGGCGACCGGCCACAUUGGGACUGAGGUACGGCCCAGACUCCUACGGGAGGCAGCAGUGGGGAAGAUUGCACGAUGGGCGGAAGCCUGAUGCAGCAACGCCGCGUGCGGGAUGACGGCCUUCGGGUUGUAAACCGCUUUCAGCAGGGGCGAAGCUUGUGGUGACGGUACCUGCAGAAGAAGCACCGGCUAACUACGUG
This 465-nucleotide ribosomal RNA is filed under the name uncultured bacterium. Its description in RNAcentral is "partial 16S ribosomal RNA". It matches the Rfam family "Bacterial small subunit ribosomal RNA", at positions 28 to 507 of the family's 1533-position model. The record is from RNAcentral.